This 308-nucleotide unclassified non-coding RNA is filed under the name plant metagenome. RNAcentral describes it as "partial contains 5.8S ribosomal RNA, internal transcribed spacer 2, and large subunit ribosomal RNA". The stretch from base 1 to 105 matches the Rfam family "5.8S ribosomal RNA", at positions 50 to 154 of the family's 154-position model. The record is from RNAcentral.
GAAACGCGAUAAGUAGUGUGAAUUGCAGAAUUCAGUGAAUCAUCGAAUCUUUGAACGCACAUUGCGCCCUUUGGUAUUCCAAAGGGCAUGCCUGUUCGAGCGUCAUUUGUACCCUCAAGCUUUGCUUGGUGUUGGGCGUCUUGUCUCUAGCUUUGCUGGAGACUCGCCUUAAAGUAAUUGGCAGCCGGCCUACUGGUUUCGGAGCGCAGCACAAGUCGCACUCUCUAUCAGCAAAGGUCUAGCAUCCAUUAAGCCUUUUUUUCAACUUUUGACCUCGGAUCAGGUAGGGAUACCCGCUGAACUUAAGC